Sapajus apella (tufted capuchin) is the source of this 1836-nucleotide long non-coding RNA. RefSeq lists it as uncharacterized. NCBI's taxonomy places the organism in Eukaryota, Metazoa, Chordata, Mammalia, Primates, Cebidae. The transcript has 3 exons. The record is from RefSeq and is a predicted model, not a curated record.
AGCCGCGCCGCCUCCGCCGGGGGCUCGGACUCUGCGCGUAGCGCCCUCGCGGAGCGGACGAAGGACCCGUUUCCAGACCCGUCGCGCUUGCCUCCUGGGUUCCUUCUCUCUCACGCCCUGGGCUAACGCCCUGGGCUUGGUGCUAGGUCCAGCUUUUUGUCUUACUCAGAAGAGUUCCCCAGUGGGGAGAGCCUGUGCUUCCAUGCAGACCUAAAAUUGCAUGCGUUUUCCCAGCCCAGAUCACUCUUGACUCUACUUUCUAAAACUUGGGGCGUAUAGAGUGCUGCCAUAACACAGUAUUAAGUCAUUGUUCACCUUUAGCAAAAGUUGUCUGAGGAUAAGGUGGUUGUCAAACUGUGUCCUUCACUUAUGUUACUGGUGCCUUUCUGUCUUCCUUGGGAGUUAGGAAAACAGCCUUAGCCAUUCAGUGCGGUUUCUUGAGCAUGCAAAGUGAUUAUUUGUAUUUAUUCUGUUCCUAAGCCUAAUUAAUGAGGUUCAAGUACCCUUUGCCAAGCAAAUAAUAUACCAAUGACCCAGCACCAAUGCCAUCAGUAAACCGUUGAAUCAUUAAGUAAACCAUUAAGAUAUGAACAGACUGUCAGCACAGACACCAUCUAUUGUUCUGGGUACUGCUAGAGAAUAGUCACUUAAUGGAUUUCAACCGCAUGGUAUAUCAUGCACGUGUAUAUCAUUUUCUAGUAAUACAUAUGUAAUGUAUAUGUGACGUCACUGAGCAAAUUGUUUUCAACAGUAGCCACCAAAACACAUAAAGCUCAAGAGAAAUGAUUUCACAUACCAUAUGCUCCUUGUUCCCAGUCUUUCUUCAACACAAAGCUAUAGCUAAUAGAGCCUCCAAGGGAAGAAAAAAAAAAUGGGGGUAGGGAGGAAAUAAUUUGAGGACAGAGGCUUUUCUUUCUAGUAUUCAAAACUGGAAGACAUCCAGAGAUCCAUGGUGCCUGACCAGUGCUUGGAAAGCAGCUUAGUGACGAGAAGAAUGAACAGAAAAAUUGAUAGAACUAGAAAAACGGUGUCCUAAUAGGCAUCUAAAGAAAACAGAAAGGAGGAAGGACCUUUGUUUCGAUGACAAGCACCAUCUAGUGGCAGCAGGUGAUGACAACAUAAUGUCUCCGAGAAGAAUAAAGAUGAAAGUUUUUGAAUAGGUAGUUCAGUUGUUCCUGGUGGCAUAUAGGCAUGGCAUUCUUUGAUUCUAAAAUAAGAAGUUGUAUGUAGUAAAAUAAUGCAACCGAUUGGCCCUAUGUUGAUUAUUGAAAGUAAGGUACAGAUCUGACCUGCAGAUAAAAUUGUUACCAUAGAAUUUUCUCAGUAUUUGUGUGACUUUGAAUAGGUCCUUAAAGAUUUCUGUAUUUAAGGUUCCUCAUUACAUAAAAUAAGAAGAGUUAUGGCUUGUCACCACAUGUUAGCUGUAAAGCACUGUGUUCAGCAAAGAGCAGGAUCCAUAAAUUUAUCAUAUUUGGGGGUUUUCACUAUUAGGAAAAAAAGGUGAAUAAUAUUGUUGGUUGUUUCUCCUGGAAUUAUACGAAAUUAUAACUUUCAUAUGCAUUUCAUAUUGGGGCCUAAACAGAAAGGUGGUAGGAGAUCUGUUAUGGCUUGUUACUGUAAACAUCGAAGACUGAUCAGAGAUGUUUCUCAAUAUCAAGUCCUUUUCAAAUACAUGGCUCAUUGGUGAAAGUCUGACCAACAUUUGCUACACAGAAUAGAGAUUUUCUUUGUACUGGUAUUUGUUUGGACUUGUUGUUUUGUUAGUAAACAAUAUUGCAACAGAAUGAUCAUUAAGGUUGCCACUUUGUAUGAGUUUAGCUAACCACUUCAUUGUAU